This 493-nucleotide ribosomal RNA is filed under the name uncultured bacterium. RNAcentral describes it as "bacterial SSU rRNA". It matches the Rfam family "Bacterial small subunit ribosomal RNA", at positions 28 to 515 of the family's 1533-position model. The record is from RNAcentral.
GAUGAACGCUAGCGGCAAGCCUAACACAUGCAAGUCGAACGGUAACUUUUGGUGCUUGCACCGAAAGACGAGUGGCGAACGGGUGCGUAACGCGUAUGCAAUCUACCUUUUACUAGGGUAUAGCCCGGAGAAAUUUGGAUUAAUCCCCUAUAAUAUCAUGAAUUCGCAUGAUUUUAUGAUUAAAGCUUAAACGGUAAAAGAUGAGCAUGCGUCCUAUUAGUUAGUAGGUGAGGUAACGGCUCACCUAGACUACGAUAGGUAGGGGUCCUGAGAGGGAGAUCCCCCACACUGGUACUGAGACACGGACCAGACUCCUACGGGAGGCAGCAGUGAGGAAUAUUGGACAAUGGACGAAAGUCUGAUCCAGCUAUGCCGCGUGCAGGAUGACGGCCCUAUGGGUUGUAAACUGCUUUUAUGCAGGAAGAAAAAAUCCGACGUGUCGGAUCUUGACGGUACUGUAAGAAUAAGGAUCGGCUAACUCCGUGCCAGAAGG